CUGGUUGAUCCUGCCAGUAGUCAUAUGCUUGUUUCAGAGAUUAAGCCAUACGUGUCUAAGUACAUACCUUAAAACGGUGAAACCACGAAUGGCUCAUUCAAUCAGCUAUGGUACCUUAGAUCAUAUAUACUACAUGGAUAACUGUAGUAAUUCUAGAGCUAAUACAUGCAAUUAUGCUCUGACCCGCAAGGAAAUGGGUGCCUUUAUUAGAACAGAACCAACCGUGGGCACUUUCGGCUGUCUCUGUUGAAUUCUGUGAUGACUUUGGAUAACUUUAAUGAUCACAGUCGGCCUUGUGUCGGCGACGAAUCUUUGAAAUGUCUGCCCUAUGAAUUUGUUGGUAGGUGAUCUGCCUACCAUGAUAAUAAUGGGUGACGGAGACUCAGGGUUUGAGCCUUAAGUUUUUUAACGAGAACCAAUUGGAGGGCAAGUCUAGUGCCAGGAGCCGCGGUAACUCCAGCUCCAAAAGCGUAUAAU
Molecule: non-coding RNA, 477 nt
Filed under: Trichobilharzia regenti
Lineage: Eukaryota; Metazoa; Platyhelminthes; Trematoda; Strigeidida; Schistosomatidae
Description: Eukaryotic small subunit ribosomal RNA
Rfam family: Eukaryotic small subunit ribosomal RNA
Source: Rfam by way of RNAcentral